This 494-nucleotide ribosomal RNA is filed under the name Vibrio sp. S20(2010). RNAcentral describes it as "bacterial SSU rRNA". It matches the Rfam family "Bacterial small subunit ribosomal RNA", at positions 33 to 509 of the family's 1533-position model. The record is from RNAcentral. Lineage: Bacteria; Pseudomonadati; Pseudomonadota; Gammaproteobacteria; Vibrionales; Vibrionaceae.
ACGCUGGCGGCGUGCCUACACAUGCAGUCGAGCGGAACGAGUUAUCUGAACCUUCGGGGAACGAUAACGGCGUCGAGCGGCGGACGGGUGAAUAAUGCCUGGGAAAUUGCCCUGAUGUGGGGGAUAACCAUUGGAAACGAUGGCUAAUACCGCAUAAUAGCUUCGGCUCAGAAAGGGGGACCUUCCGGCCUCUCGCGUCAGGAUAUGCCCAGGUGGGAUUAGCUAGUUGGUGAAGUAAUGGCUCACGAAAGCAACCAUCCCUAACUGGUCAGAGAGAAUGAUCACCCUCACUGGAACUGACACACGGUCCUCACUCCUACGGGAGGCGUCAGUGGUCAAUAUUGCUGGAUGGACGCCUGCCUGAUGCACCCCUGCCGCGUGUAUGAAGAAGGCCUUCGGGUUGUAUCGUACUUUCAGCAAUGACGAAUGCGAGAGUAUUUGCUCCCCAUUCGUUUGAACUUAACUGAAAACAACCGCCGAGCUAACUCCGUGCA